This 434-nucleotide ribosomal RNA is filed under the name uncultured Lachnospiraceae bacterium. RNAcentral describes it as "bacterial SSU rRNA". It matches the Rfam family "Bacterial small subunit ribosomal RNA", at positions 341 to 792 of the family's 1533-position model. The record is from RNAcentral. Lineage: Bacteria; Bacillati; Bacillota; Clostridia; Lachnospirales; Lachnospiraceae.
ACGGAAGGCAGCAGUGGGGGAUAUUGCACAAUGGGGGAAACCCUGAUGCAGCGACGCCGCGUGAGCGAUGAAGUAUUUCGGUAUGUAAAGCUCUAUCAGCAGGGAAGAAAAUGACGGUACCUGACUAAGAAGCACCGGCUAAAUACGUGCCAGCAGCCGCGGUAAUACGCAUGGUGCAAGCGUUAUCCGGAUUUACUGGGUGUAAAGGGAGCGUAGACGGCAUAGCAAGCCAGAUGUGAAAUGCGGGGGCUCAACCCCUGAACUGCAUUUGGAACUGUUAAGCUAGAGUAUCGGAGAGGUAAGUGGAAUUCCUAGUGUAGCGGUGAAAUGCGUAGAUAUUAGGAGGAACACCAGUGGCGAAGGCGGCUUACUGGACGAUAACUGACGUUGAGGCUCGAAAGCGUGGGGAGCAAACAGGAUUAGAUACCCUGGUA